Non-coding RNA from Equus caballus (horse), 8571 nucleotides. Lineage: Eukaryota; Metazoa; Chordata; Mammalia; Perissodactyla; Equidae. The record is from RefSeq and is a predicted model, not a curated record.
AGUUCAGAGUCUGCCUACACCACCAUCUUGAUGAGAUCUCCUCUAGUUAUUUUCUUUAUUACGAGGAUACACUUCAUUCCCAUACAAGCACAAACUCCUUGUUGUAUAUAAUGAAAAUGUGUGCUUAUUAAAAACUAGUAAAAUUGAAAAGGUUGUGAGGACAUAUUCCAUUUUAAUUUUUUUAAUAAAAGAAAGAUCUCACAUAUAUCUAUUAAUUUCUAAUACUCAAUAGUAGAUUAAUGCUUGAAUUAGUCCUGAUUAAUGUUUAUUGUAAAUGUGUCAAUUUAUCAGUGGGUCAGAUACUAUCUUUCAAAUCACUUAGUAUGACCAUCGCAUGCUAUUGUUCUGUAAUAAUUUUAUAUAGGUAAGCCUACGUAUGAACAUUCUGCAGCUAAGUUAAAUCGAAGACAAAAAUUGUCUAUGCUCUUUCGUCCCGCUUUCUUUUAUUCCCCUUUAGUCUUGGCACAUAAUCAGAGAAAUAGGGUGUGUCUAAUUAUGAAUUUAGUUAUUUACUAGACAUGGACAUAUAUAUACAUACAUGCAUACAUACAUAUACACAUACCUAUACACACACACACACACGUGUGUAUGUGUCUUUCUACCUCUUCACUUUUCUUCUGAGCCACAUCUCCUGGUUUCUUCCCUCCUCUCCAGCUGCUUCCUUUCAGUCUGUUCUUCUCUACUCCAUUCCCUCUGGGUGAUUUUUUUCUAGCCCCAUGACUUUAAAUAACAUUUAAAUAUACUGAUGAUACUUGUAUUUAUAUCUCCAGCCCCAACUCUUCCCCUGAACUUUUAACUCGUGUAUCCAACUGCCUGUAAGACAGCUCCAUGGGAUGUCUGGCAGACAUCUCACAAUGAACGGCUGCAAACAGAAAUCUUGAUUCCACGCACCAUGCCCAUGUUCUUCCCUGCAAUCUCCCCCUCUCCCUGGAGUCUCAUCUCAGUAAAUGGCACACCAGCGACUCAAACCUCAGCCAUCUCUCAGUCCUCUCUCUCAGACUACAUCAAUCUGUCAGCAAGUUCUGUGGACUCUGCUCUUAAACGAUGGCUCCCAACUGGUCUCCCCACUCCACUCUCGUCUCCUGCAGUCUUCUCCGCACAGCAGCCAGAGUGAAUCUUUAAAAGCGAAGGUCAGAAUGCUUCAUUCCAUGGAGCUCCACACUUCAGCGACUUCCAUUCACUGAGAAUGAAAGCCAAAGUCCUUACGCUGGCCGACAGGGCUCUCUGUGAUCCGUGUCCGGCCUCCUCUCUCCCCAUUCUCUACUGCUGUCCCACCCUCUGCCCUCUAGCACACUCCUUGUUGUUCCUCCAACAGGCCUUUUCAAGCCUUUACAUCUGCCAUUCUCUCUGCCUGCAUGGCCCUUCCCUGCAUGUUUACCUGGGUCACCUCCUCAUUCAUUCAGAUGUCACCUCCUCAAAGAGGCUUUACCUGACCACGCUCUCUGGAGUAGCAUCCUGUCACUCCCUUUCUCCUUACCUCGCUUGACUGUUUUUCUCAUAGCACUAAACCUAAUACUAUUUGUUUUUAAUGUCAAUCUGUCUGUCUCUUCUACUAGAAUAUAAUCUUCUUAAGAACAGGAGUUUUAUUUUGUUAACCAGUUUCUAGCAUCUAAAUAGUGCUUGCACAAGAUAGACACCAAUAAAUAUGUAUUUAAUGAACAAAUGCAUACUUCACGCACAUCUAAAAUAACACAGUUGGUCAAAGCGUAUGAACUUGCAACUAGAAGAUAAGUUCUGGAGAUCUAAGGUACAGCCUAGUGACUAUAGUCAACAAUACUGUAUAUUCAAUUCAAUACUGCAACUUCAAAGUUGCUAAGAGACUAGACCUUAAAUGUUCUCAUCAUGAAAAAGAAAUGAUACUUAUGUGAAGUGAUAGAAGUGUAAGCUAACUCGAAGGUGGCAAUCAUAUUGCAAUAUAUAAAUGUAUCAAAUCAAUGCAUUGCACACCUUAAACUUGCACAACAUUAUAUGUCAGUGACAUCUCAAUAAAAAAACAAAGUAACAGAGAUUUACAAUACAACCGUUAAUUUUCUGGAUUUGUUUUGUGCUUCUGUAGAAGACUGGGUGUACACUUAUAAUUAUAUGUCAGCUUUGGUAUUAUAUAGAGCGCACAGUGUUCCUUAAAAAAACUUUAAAAAGAUACUGCAGUCUUUAAGAUGUGAGUUAGUGCAACCAUCCACAUAUGUAUAUGUUCACAAACUAUUUUCGAUAGUGCUUUAGUACCUUGAAAGGCUCCUAAAAGUUUUCAUGCAAUGUUCAAAAGUGUAAAUCUUACUGCCAAGGAGCUGAUGCACUUGCAGACCCUCAGUCACAAUUUAAUGGAUGCCAUGUUUCCAUGUCCAGUUGGUCACUUAGCCCUGGACACCAUAUCUUUCAGAACAACCUUGCUAAGGUGAUAGAAACACUAACAGAAAGGACAAUAUUGUGCUAUGAUCAUCAAACUUGCCAAGAGACUAGAACUUAAUUCCAACCACUAAAAAGAAAGGAUCAUUAUGUAACGUGACAGGCACUAAAUAUUGCUACAAUGGCAAUCAUAUUGCAAUAUGUAAAUGUAUCAAAUUAACAUGUUUUGCACCCUAAAUUUACACAAUGCUAUGUAUCCAGUAUGUUCAGUGAAAAAAAGAGGAGAGCUACCUGCUUUAUUAUUUCAACAAAAGGGAUGGAGAAGAAGAAAAAGAAAACGCAGGAGAGGAUGGAGAGAAGGAGGAGAAUGAUGUUCUAGCUGUAAAUGGAGAAUGAUGUUCUAGCUGUAAAUGGAGAAUGUGCAGCGAAGAAAAAGAAUAUUUUAACAGGAGCUAAAGAAACUGUAAGAGGUGCAUCUCCAGGCCACCGUUCCCUCUGAGCAUUGCUAAACUUCUGGACACCACAUGGGUUCUCCUGGGCCGUGUCUCUGCCGCUGCGAGGGGAGAGAAGGCCGAGCAUGUAUUCAUUAACAGCCAACAUUUGGUGUCCUACGCUCUGUGGUCUGCCUCCACCAAGCACAAGAUCAGGGGCAGCGGCCUCAGCUGGAAGCCGCUUCGGAUUUGACAACUGGGUGUAACGGCAUGAAAACGUUACUGAUGACAGCUGAGAUCCGUUGAGGCACUGUUCUAAGGACUGUGCAAAUCAACUCACUGAGGCUCACCUGUGGCACAGGUGCUAUAAUUAUCCCCAUUUGACAGAUGAGAAUAAUGAGGAAGGCCAGGUUAAUUACGUAAAGCAUCAGCAUUAGUCACGACCUCGGUAGAACACAGUUCCACGAAGUACAGGUAUGUUUGUAAAGCACCUUGUAAGGUGAGACUGAUUACGUGCAUCUAUCCGCCAUCUUUCUAAUCUUCUCAAUUAUACACAUUUUACGCAGUUGUACAUAUAUAUAUAUGUAUGUAAGUGUGUAUGUGUUCCACUCUUCUCCUUUGACUUCGCUUUAUAAACAUUGUCACAUGAACAUUUUGUAUGUGGGGCUAUGCCCUCAUUUUUAGUGAGAACAGAAAAGAUGCGAUAGUUGCACACUGAGCUCCCUGUGCCUGGGGGUUUCUCGGAGGUGGUUGGGGCCACCGUGUGGAGCCGAGAGCCAGCAGGAGCAUGAACAGCAGGUCUGACCCCUGCUCCCUACUUUACCUAGGGUGGUUAGUUGCUCUUUAAAAUAAAAUAUUUUAAGUCAAUUUACAUAUUUAGCUUAUGCACAAUGUUUCACCAAAGAAAGGAUCCCAAAGCUGAAACAAAGUUGAUGUAUUACUAAUUAUAUCAUAAUUUGUAAUUCCCGUAUUGUUGAACAUUUAGGUUGGUUCCAUUUUUUAUUGCUAUAACAUGCAUAUGAACAUCUUUGUGCAUACACUAUGUUUUUUUCCUUUUAAUUAUUUCCUUACUUUAAAUUCCCCGGAGGUGAUUUAGGCCCGAAGGGCAUGGAUAUUUGUUAGCAUUUUAAGCACGUUUGCAAGCUACCCUGAUUCAGGCAAUUGAUAAUGCCAACGGCAAUAUGAGCAUACUGGCCGUUUGCUCACAGUCCAGAAGUAACAGCUUUAAAAAAAACAAAACAACAAUAAAAACCAAACAACACUCAAAAUGACGCAAAAACUAGCAACAUCAAUUAAUGUCUUCCAAUCACCCUAAUUUAAGGAUAGGCUGUAUACUAUGCCUCGAGCUGGAGUUUGACUGUGGCCAAGCCAGACUGGAUGCAUAGGAGUUCCCGCCACUGUGAUGCUGUGGUGGGCGACUGGAGUGCUGGUGAGAAAACAGUCACUCUGAAUAGGAUAAGUCUGUUGAAACUGAAGACGGGCAGGAGCCAUUUACCAAGGGUUGUUCAGGGACCACAGGAAAAGUAAGAGACCCUGGGCCUCCUGGAAUUGUGAGGGGCCAUCCCAGAGGGACCCCGACUUGGCGAACUGGACUUGCCCAGAAGAUCUCUUGUCUCUGAAAGUCAGACCUAGCGGAAUUUAAUUGGUGCUGCUCAUUCACGAGGCUCUAUUGGGAAAUGUGAAUGUAUUUUAACACAUGCGGAUAGUAGUUUUAAAACAUCACUUAUCAAAGACAAGAAAAAAAAGAAAAGAGAAAAAAUCACUCAGAUUCUCACUCCCAUGCCAGUAACAACUCUGACCAUUUUGCCUUUUAGGGAUUCAAAAAAUGAAUCUCUAAUGCAUGUUGCUCUCAUGAAAUUUUGAUAGUUUGUUUUGCUUUUUAUAAAUUGGAUAAACCGGAUAAACUGGGUAUAACUCUGUGCUUGUCAAUCCCGGAUUUGCAGUAAUUUGCAAUGUAGUUUAUUUUGUGAAGGGCAGCGGCUGCUUUCUGUCCGUAAAAGCACGAGUUUAUUUUCCUCCGUCAAACGUAGAAACCUUCCAACCGGCGUUUCUGCCUGCAAGCUCGGCAGAGAGGGCGAGGAGCAUUUGUGCCAUUUCCUCACGUCCACAUGACAUCACCCAUGGCAGGGUGGUGGCAACUGGUAGAAGAAUGUCACACGCGGCCUGCAGUGCUAAUCUCUUGUCUCAUAAAGCAGAGACGUUGGGUCUAUGGUGUUCCUCGGAUGCCAAUAUUAAGGAUGGAGCAAACAAACAAAGAUUACAUCUUUCUUUAUUAAACAUGUGUUCAAGGAGAUGCCAAGGUUUUAACUGUCAAAAGUCAUAUGCUUGCUUUUUGUAUAGAAGUUAUUUUAAGUUCAGCUUUUUGGCAUGCAGUAGCGAUCUGACUAAAGAGUCCAUAAAAUCCUGAGUGUGAACCUCACACGUUCACAUUCAGAUCUCAUGAGUACACCUGGAGGUCGUGGGUGCAAUAAGGUCUCUUGGAAAGCGGGAAGUCUUCCUGCAUUGCCCUAGUUCAGGCCUUAACCCCCAACUCUCCCUCCUUCAGUCCAGCUGCCUCACCACUAUACUGGUCACCUCACUAAGACUCAGAGCUGGUGGUGUUCUUCCCUGGCUGCACACCUUCGAUGAGGGUUACACUGCCAGCAGAGCAGAGUCCAAACAUUUAAAAGUUCCUGCCCUCAAGUGCUCGUUCCCUCCGGCUCCUUCCCCUUUUCCAGCCUCAUUUCCUGCCUCUCCCUGGCCAGCCCUGCAGGGUGCUGGUCUCCCCAGACAACCUUGCCGUUCUCUGAGCAAGCCCUAUUCUUUUGGCUUUGCUCUGGCUCACACUUUCUUCUUUGCCGUUAAAGUUCCUGUCUCUAUUUCGCUGUCCUUUAAGGACCAGCACAAGUGCAGCCUUCUCUCUGGAUUUUCUCUGACCAUCUCUCUCCACUGAGAGCUUUGUCAACUCUGCUCCGAUGGAUUUUGUUCACGGCCCUGCCCUCAGAACACGGUUCUCUGUGUUUGCCUCGCACACGCUGACACACUGCAGCUCUUCGGGGCAGGGGCUGUGUCCAUUUCGUGUUUCCACCCCCAGAACUAACACAGUGUCAGACAAUAGUAGGUGCUUGUUUAAUGUUUUUGAACAACCUCACGUACGUAUAAAUAGUUUACAGUCAGUGGUAAAUUAAUAAAAAGUAAGUAAUGGUUGUUUACCAAUAUUUGUUAUAUAAUUAUUCAACCACCCUUUACUGAGUCCAGGCUGAGUGCCAGGCAUUUUGAUGAGCACUGGCAUUCAAAGGUGAGUGGGUAGUGUUCCUGACCUGGAGAGGCCCACAGUCUUGUGAGGGAGAUAGGUAUAUGAGCAUGAAUUAUAUUCAUUCAUUUAUUUUGUGAAACAGAAAAAUGUCAUUAAAUUUGGAAUUUUUUUCCUCUAUGAAAUUGGAGCGCAUAGGGCCAUUUUAAGAGUGUAAGAGCAAAAAUAUGUAAAUAGUAUCUAAAUUCUGGUGUGUGUCACUAAGAAAAGAUACCUUUAAGAGUAAUUCCUCUUUCCUUUACCAGCAAGGGCACUGUCCUGGGUGUUUCCUCUGGAUAUGCUGGGUUUUAGACCCCCCGUGUUCUACCACAGGCAGCCACCCCACAGUGGACCAUACUGCCAGGCAGAAGAGCAGUGGGGCUGGAAAUACAGAAAGAGAGAGAGAGAGGCUGCCUCCUUCACUGCCAGAACCCUGUCGAAACUCUCUGCUGUUCCAGGAAUCCACAGGACUAGCAGCAAACCAAGGGCAUCUCCAUGAACAUCCUCAGCCCAGUCUUCUGCUGGUAAGGUGAGAAGAUAGAGCAGAGUAGAGCAAGAUAACCAGAAGAGAGUCUUGCUUCAGUCUUUGCUUUUGUACAAGCCUACCUCACGGGCUUGGAGUGAGGGUUUGCUAGAGCCUUCCUCUAGCUUGGCCAAGUGAGACAAGCAGUCCCAGUUAUUAACGAAUCCUGACAUAUAAAGGGACAAACUGAGACAGUUAACUGGCGUUUUGUAAAGGUCAGGGCUUCCUAUUAAAGGACUUGUGCAGAGGCAACAAUCAUUCUUCCACUGCACAAGGAGGAAAAUCCAGAUGCUCAGGAUCAUAAGACUAGAAGGGACGUCAAGAGGGAAAGGAGGUCAGCCCUUGCCUCUGAGCAGGAGGACAUUCAGUCACCUAAAAGCCCAAGAGAAAAUAGAAUAAACCCAAUAAACUGGGUCUUAUUUCGGAAGCCAAAUGUUAUCCCUGCAAAUGGCUCAGUUAACACCUGCGGGCUACAUGAGCUGAUGUGGUAGAAUAGCAGGGAGACCUUAAGACACUUUAUGGCUUACUUACUUGUGUUAUUGGUUUUCUUUGCUCAUCUCUGGGGAGGGAGCUUUUUUAAGAUUAUGAAAGAUAAUACAAUGUUGGGUCGAUUGUAUCAUGAUGUGAUGCAAUCCAACCCUGCGAGGGGUGUGUUCUUGAAGACGCUGUGGAAACAAGUAUCAGCUCUACUGUAGGAGGAGGUGAGCUGCUCAUCUCCGUUGGGGCAUGGCGGCGAGUACUGGCUCCAGCUGUGGAAAUGCACCAGAGAAUCAGAAGAGUUUAUUAGGAAGAUUUUUAGCAAAGCAAUCAUAGGCUCUUCAUAGUGUGAGUAAUAAUGUUUAUCAGUUAUCAGUCCUUCCGUGGUAUUAUUUUCAACUACUUUAAGAUAUUGUUUUUCUUCUUUCCUUUGGCAUCUUUCCCAAAGUUUAAUGCAGCUUCUUGAAAAAAAUUUGAUACUUUUGCUACCAUUUUCCAGAAGAGAAUAACAGGCACGCUGGAAGUUUUGCCUGUCAGUCUGAGAUGGAGGAGUCUGUAAAAUUGCCCUGGGUAAUGACGGUAGAGGUAAGUUUUAGCUUCGUAAAUAAAGACUAUGACUUACACUAAGGCGUAUGUGGGCAAAGUAUUGGGUCUAACAUCAGAGAGCUUUAAAGGAUGGAUGUAGGGACACGCAUGCUCAGAAUGGGCAUUGCAUGAGGCGUAUAUGCUCAUUUUUAUUAAAGAUCCUUGAACUGUUCAAAACUGUGGUAGACAGAAUAAUGGCCCUGAGAGAUGCCCACACGGGGAUCCCCAGAAGCUGUGACUGUGCUACCGCACAUGGCAACGAACGCGGAUUCACAAAUGUGAAUAAAGGUAGACUUUGAAGUGGGAAUUUAUCCCAGGUUGUCCAGGUGGGUCCAAUCUAAUCACAUAAACCCUUAAGAGCAGAGACGCUCCCUGGCCGUGGUUAGAGAAAGAGAAGAGUGAGCAGAAGCAGGGCAGAGGGAUACUACAGCAUGUGCUUGAUCUUUUUAAAUUAAAAAUCUUUUUUACUAUUUUCCCCCAGCUUUAUUGAAGUAUGGAUGACAAAUAAGAAUUAUGCAUAUUUAGGUUUUACAACAUGAGUUUUAAAGAUGUACAAUGCAAUGGUUUAAUAUAGGUUUACACUGUGAAAUGAUUACUGCAAUCAAGUGGUCACAUCCGUCACCUCAAUAGUUACCAUUUUUUUCUGUGAUGAGACCCCUUCAGAUUUCCUCUCAGCAAAUUUCAAGUGUGUAAUACGGUAUUAUUAACUGUAUUAUCUAUUAUUAAGCAUGCUGCAUAUGAGAUGCCCAGAACUUACUUAUCUUGUAGCUGGAAGUUUGUUCUCUUUGGCCAGCAUCUCCCCAGUUCCCCCACCCCUCAGCCCCUGGCAACCACCAUUCCGCUCUCUGCUUCUACGAGUUUGACUUUCUUAGAUUCCACAUAUAAGUGAGGUCAUGCAGUAUUUAUCUCUCUGUGUUUGGCCUAUUUCACUUAGCAUGAUG